This 74-nucleotide transfer RNA is filed under the name Dallia pectoralis (Alaska blackfish). Its description in RNAcentral is "tRNA-OTHER". The record is from RNAcentral. Lineage: Eukaryota; Metazoa; Chordata; Actinopteri; Esociformes; Umbridae.
AUCUGUUUGGAGUUGUGGUUACUGCGCUCGGCUGUGGUUCCGGGUGACGUGGGUUCGAUUCCCCCUACCAGAUG